CGAAAAAGGCGGCGAAAAAAGCGCCGGGCGCAACCGCGGUGGAGGGGGCCGCGGGGGCGCCGGCCCGAAGGAGGCGGUCCCUGACUACCACCAGCUGCAG
Molecule: non-coding RNA, 100 nt
Filed under: Lotharella globosa
Lineage: Eukaryota; Cercozoa; Chlorarachniophyceae
Source: RNAcentral